CGGGCUGUCGUAUACCGGUAGUAUGCCUGUUUUGGGAACAGGUGGACUGGGUUCAAUUCCCAGCAGCCCGACAA
RNAcentral lists this transfer RNA (74 nucleotides) under Candidatus Harrisonbacteria bacterium CG10_big_fil_rev_8_21_14_0_10_49_15. RNAcentral describes it as "tRNA-Pro". It matches the Rfam family "tRNA". From Rfam's summary of the family: Transfer RNA (tRNA) molecules are approximately 80 nucleotides in length. Their secondary structure includes four short double-helical elements and three loops (D, anti-codon, and T loops). Further hydrogen bonds mediate the characteristic L-shaped molecular structure. tRNAs have two regions of fundamental functional importance: the anti-codon, which is responsible for specific mRNA codon recognition, and the 3' end, to which the tRNAs corresponding amino acid is attached (by aminoacyl-tRNA synthetases). tRNAs cope with the degeneracy of the genetic code in two manners: having more than one tRNA (with a specific anti-codon) for a particular amino acid; and 'wobble' base-pairing, i.e. permitting non-standard base-pairing at the 3rd anti-codon position. The record is from RNAcentral. Lineage: Bacteria; Candidatus Harrisoniibacteriota.